Molecule: ribosomal RNA, 424 nt
Filed under: uncultured bacterium
Lineage: Bacteria
Description: partial 16S ribosomal RNA
Rfam family: Bacterial small subunit ribosomal RNA
Source: RNAcentral
AAUUUUGGACAAUGGGGGAAACCCUGAUCCAGCAAUGCCGCGUGCAGGAUGAAGGCCUUCGGGUUGUAAACUGCUUUUGUACGGAACGAAAAGUCUUGGGCUAAUACCUAGGGAUCAUGACGGUAACGUAAUAAUAAGCACGCGCUAACUACGUGCCAGCAACCGGGGUAAAACGUAGGGUGCAAGCGUUAAUCGGAAUUACUGGGCGUAAAGCGUGCGCAGGCGGUUUUGUAAGACAGUGGUGAAAUCCCCGGGCUCAACCUGGGAACUGCCAUUGUGACUGCAAGGCUGGAGUGCGGCAGAGGGGGAUGGAAUUCCGCGUGUAGCAGUGAAAUGCGUAGAUAUGCGGAGGAACACCGAUGGCGAAGGCAAUCCCCUGGGCCUGCACUGACGCUCAUGCACGAAAGCGUGGGGAACAAACAGG